GACGAACGCUGGCGGCGUGCUUAACACAUGCAAGUCGAACGGAAAGGCCCUGCUUUUGUGGGGUGCUCGAGUGGCGAACGGGUGAGUAACACGUGAGUAACCUGCCCUUGACUUUGGGAUAACUUCAGGAAACGGGGGCUACUACCGGAUAGGAGCUCCUGCUGCAUGGUGGGGGUUGGAAAGUUUCGGCGGUUGGGGAUGGACUCGCGGCUUAUCAGCUUGCUGGUGGGGUAGUGGUUUGCCAAGGGUUGGACGGGUAGCCGGCCUGAGAGGGUGGCCGGGCACAUGAGGACUAAGGGACGGAGCAGACUGCAACGGGAGGCAGCGGUGGGAAGCCUUACACAAUGAGCGGGAGCCUGAGGCGAAGGCGCUCCGUGCGGAAUGACGGCUUUUGGGGUGUAAAACGCUGUCGCCUGUGACGACGCGGGAGUGACGGUAAUGAGUAAAGAAGCACCGGCUAACUACGUG
RNAcentral lists this ribosomal RNA (468 nucleotides) under uncultured bacterium. RNAcentral describes it as "partial 16S ribosomal RNA". It matches the Rfam family "Bacterial small subunit ribosomal RNA", at positions 28 to 507 of the family's 1533-position model. The record is from RNAcentral.